AGGAUUUUAAGUUAAGAAAACUAUUAACCUUCAAAGUUAAAAAUAAUUUAUGUUAAAUCUUA
RNAcentral lists this transfer RNA (62 nucleotides) under Bragasellus peltatus. Its description in RNAcentral is "transfert RNA-W(TGA)". Lineage: Eukaryota; Metazoa; Arthropoda; Malacostraca; Isopoda; Asellidae. The record is from RNAcentral.